AUGGGAACGCGAAGAACCUUACCUAGACUUGACAUCUCCUGAAUAGUGUAGAGAUACAUGAAGCCCUUCGGGGCAGGAAGACAGGUGGUGCAUGGUUGUCGUCAGCUCGUGUCGUGAGAUGUUGGGUUAAGUCCCGCAACGAGCGCAACCCUUAUUACUAGUUGCUACCAUUAAGUUGAGCACUCUAGUGAGACUGCUCGGGUUAACCGGGAGGAAGGCGGGGAUGACGUCAAAUCAUCAUGCCCCUUAUGUCUAGGGCAACACACGUGCUACAAUGGUGAGUACAGAUAGAUGCGAUACCGCAAGGUGGAGCCAAACUCUAAAACUCAUCCCAGUUCGGAUUGUAGGCUGCAACUCGCCUACAUGAAGUUGGAGUUGCUAGUAAUCGCGAAUCAGAAUGUCGCGGUGAAUACGUUCCCGGGUCUUGUACACACCG
RNAcentral lists this ribosomal RNA (436 nucleotides) under uncultured bacterium. Its description in RNAcentral is "bacterial SSU rRNA". It matches the Rfam family "Bacterial small subunit ribosomal RNA", at positions 954 to 1392 of the family's 1533-position model. The record is from RNAcentral.